UUAGUAGCCACUUAGUCACAAACACUGGCCAAAUAUAUAUAUAUUUAUUUAUUUAUUUUUAAACACAAACAAAUAUGAACCCUAACUUUGGCCAGUGUUUGUGACUAAGUGGCUACUAU
Molecule: non-coding RNA, 119 nt
Organism: Pelobates cultripes (western spadefoot toad)
Lineage: Eukaryota; Metazoa; Chordata; Amphibia; Anura; Pelobatidae
Source: the annotation of a GenBank genome assembly